UGCACAAUUGAAUGGAAGCUAGCUUGCUUGUUUAAAAUAUAAGCUAGCUUGUUCAUUUAAAAUAUACUAGCAGGGAUUAUAAUUAUCAGUUACAUUGAGGUCUCCUUUGGUGGUCAAAUAUAAGCUAGCUUGUUCGUCUAAAAUAAGCGAAGCAAAGCUUUUUAACAGAUUUAGUUGAUAAGGAGGGUGGUUUGGGCAAUAAUAUGAUUGAACUUAAUAGAUGCUCAAAAUCCUUUUCUGUUACUAAUAUGGUAUCAUGGGUUGUAGAUAGUUUAAUUCAUAAAAUUGUGGUUGAUGGCUCAUUUCUGGCAGGAGGAGCAUGGGUGGCUUUUGAUGAAUAUAACAAUCAGGUGAUAACAAAAGCUGCAGGUUUUUUGCUUUGUCAGCUGCUACUGUGGAAGCAAAAGCAUGUUUUGAAGCUGUUAAAUGGUGUGUCGAUCGUCAAGUGAAGGCUAUUAAUAUCUUCGCGGAUUCUCCAGUUGCUUAUGACUUCAUCUGUUUCACUAAUGUUCAUAGAAAUGUAGUAGUAGAAGGGCAACAGCUGGUUGUAGACAAGGCAUCAAUUUUGUCUUUGGUUUGUACUAUUAUUUUAUAUGCUUUAAAGAGGAAGGAGAAGAAAAGAAGCUACAAAUAAGUUAAUGUUUAAUAAAGUUAAUUCGUGUUGCAUA
Camellia sinensis is the source of this 668-nucleotide non-coding RNA. NCBI's taxonomy places the organism in Eukaryota, Viridiplantae, Streptophyta, Magnoliopsida, Ericales, Theaceae. The record is from RefSeq and is a predicted model, not a curated record.